GACAGAGGGGGCAAGCGUUGCUCGGAAUCACUGGGCGUAAAGGGCGCGUAGGCGGCCAUUCAAGUCGGGGGUGAAAGCCUGUGGCUCAACCACAGAAUUGCCUUCGAUACUGUUUGGCUUGAGUCUGGUAGAGGUUGGUGGAACUGCGAGUGUAGAGGUGAAAUUCGUAGAUAUUCGCAAGAACACCGGUGGCGAAGGCGGCCAACUGGACCAGUACUGACGCUGAGGCGCGAAAGCGUGGGGAGCAAACAGG
This 253-nucleotide ribosomal RNA is filed under the name uncultured bacterium. RNAcentral's name for it is "partial 16S ribosomal RNA". It matches the Rfam family "Bacterial small subunit ribosomal RNA", at positions 524 to 776 of the family's 1533-position model. The record is from RNAcentral.